AUGCACGAGUACUGUGAGCUCCCUGGAUGUAGAGAUGUCCUGAGCUGCGAAGAGGUUGCUGAGAUAAUGAUACCGACCACUCUGAAGUUAUCUAUGCUUCGUAGCAGAGUGAUCUUGAUGCGUUCAUUUAACAAAGUUGUCAAGCUCCAUCAUGAACACUUUGCUCUUGCUGGAAAGUUUUCCUCGAAGAACUUCCAAAUCUAUCAAGAUGACUCCAUCAAGCUUGAUGGUCUGGCCGAGGGCGCGAUAGUGGAGUACCGUGAGGCUGUUGGGGACCUUGACUACCGCCAAUUUGUUCAUAUGGUUACCGAGGAGGUAUUUCAUGGUCAGAAGCUACCAUUUGAUCUGACCGAGUGGCUAAGGAUCAUAUCCCAGGGAGUGAACGCGUGUGAUGGCAGCCUACUCUGUAGUCAUAUUGACCUGAUGGAGCCUUAUCAAGGAUAUGGAAACUUUGUCUCAUUGUUUCAGCUGUUCUGGAAAGUCAAAGAUACCGCUGGUGGAGAAGAUCUUCUGAACUCCUUGGGACAUUACAAAGGAUGGAAAUCUGAAGGCCUGCGUUGUUCGUUUCUUCGUGAUACACUGAACUACGAGGACGAUGAUGGCCAUAGAUUUGAAUAUGAAGAUGACAUAAGAGGCCUUCUGAGGUUGUUGAUGAACUCCUUCCGUCACUCAGCAAAAAGCCACUGCAGGCUCGCUAUCUACCUGAUUAUGAAUGAGUUCCGCAGGUUGCUAUCUGAUCUUCAAAGGGCAUUGCACUAG
RNAcentral lists this ribosomal RNA (759 nucleotides) under Triticum aestivum (bread wheat). RNAcentral describes it as "partial small subunit ribosomal RNA". Lineage: Eukaryota; Viridiplantae; Streptophyta; Magnoliopsida; Poales; Poaceae. The record is from RNAcentral.